UUAUUUAGUGACUGAAAAGCAAGUAAUGGUCUCUUAAAUCAACUAAUGGUAAUUGCAUCUACCCUAAAUG
This 70-nucleotide transfer RNA is filed under the name Arytainilla spartiophila (broom psyllid). RNAcentral describes it as "tRNA-Lys". Lineage: Eukaryota; Metazoa; Arthropoda; Insecta; Hemiptera; Psyllidae. The record is from RNAcentral.